RNAcentral lists this long non-coding RNA (1347 nucleotides) under Homo sapiens (human). RNAcentral describes it as "HSALNT0387392". The record is from RNAcentral. Lineage: Eukaryota; Metazoa; Chordata; Mammalia; Primates; Hominidae.
GCAUCUUCUCCUUUUUUCUCACCAUUCUAGAAUUCUCUGAGUUUUUUGAGCUUAGAGCAGAGUUUCUCAAGAGCUGCAAUACUGGCAUUUGAGUCAAGUCGUUCUUUAUUGUUGGUGGUGGAGGGGGCACCCUGUAUAUUGUAGGACGUUGGGCAGCAUCUCUGACUUCUACCUACUAGAUGCCAGUAUCUCAGUUUUCUUAAAAGACUUUUUUUUUUUUUUUUUUUUUUUUGAGAUGGAGUCUUGCUGUGUUGCCUAGGCUGGAGUGCAGUGGCACCAUGUCGACUCACUGCAACCUCCGCCUCCCCGGUUCAAGCGAUUCUCCUGCCUCAGCCUCCUGAGUAGCUGGGAUUACAGGUGAGCACCACCAUGCCCAGCUAAUCGUAAAAGACUUUUCAUAAAACUUCAGAACUCCUUAAAAACUAGUGAAUAGCCAAGGUGAAGAAAGCCCUCAGGCUUCUGACUUUAGACCCCAAUCCCUGGGACUCCCACACUCAGCAAAGAAAGCUGGGUGCCUGCACCCUGGAUCUCUGAGCAAACCUGUCUUAUGGCUGUGGGCAACUCAGGAACAUGAAUUAGCACGAGAAUCUGGAGUUUUUCUUUCCUUUUCUGGGUCUCACUCUGUCACCCAGGCUGGAGUGCAGUGGCGCAGUCAUGGCUCCCUGUAACCUCAACCUCUCAGACUCCAGCAAUCCUCCUGCGACAGGGAGGCAGUCAAUGGUGAAUGCUGGCCUCGCUGAUUACUCACCUGGAGACCUUUCUGAGGAUCAGUUUUCUCAUCUAGAAAAUGGGACAACUGCCAGACCACUGAAGAAAAUACAGAAAACAGCCCCACACAUCAGCAUGUUUGGUUGCUGCCAGUCUACUUGGAUCUGAGUAUUUUUUCUUGCCAUGAAUGUGACGUGAUUAUCUUCUCCUACAUCACACUGAAGUUUUAUGAAUGAUGCUUUGAAGUGGGAAGGGCCAGAGAGUUAAUAUUUUCGGCUUCUUGGGCCAGCUGGUCUCGGUGGCAGCUACUGAGCUCUGCCACUGCAGCAGAGAACGGGCACAGGCGAUAUGGAAAUGAUAGGCGCGGCUGUGUUCCAAUAAAACUUUAUUUACAAAAAUGGGCAGUAGACCAGAUUUGGUCUGUGUCUUAGAGUUUGCUGACCCUGCUUUAAAGAAACAUCAAAGAGAUUCUACCAGCUGAUUUCCUUGCUCCCAAAAUUCUUGUAAGGACUAUGGCUGAGUUAGGAAGUUAUGUACUUUAAUAGCUAAUUUCAGGCCUGGCGUGGUGGCUCACGCCUGUAAUCCCAGCACUUCGGGAGGCUGAGGUGGGUGGAUCACUUGAGGUCAGGAGUUUCAGAC